CGCAAGGCUCGUAACACCUUGAUGAUGCUUGUUGCGUGGGAAAUCUGGAACGAACGCAACGCGGGGAUCUUCCGCAACACCGCCGCCCCUACUACCGUCGUCAUCGCCAAGAUUAAGGAUGAAGCCUCUCUUUGGGCUCGUGCGGGUGCGAAGUAUUUGAGUAAUAUUAUUGCCGCGAGAAUAAUUUGUAAUCGCCCGCUUGGCGGAACCAUGUCUACUCCUCUUCUUAAUCUAUACUUCUAUACUACUAUUAAACAAGCGAACAUUAUUUUUCCUAAGCGCACCCCCUCUAAUGUACACAGAACAAGACGGCAGAAUUAA
RNAcentral lists this ribosomal RNA (321 nucleotides) under Triticum aestivum (bread wheat). RNAcentral's name for it is "partial small subunit ribosomal RNA". Lineage: Eukaryota; Viridiplantae; Streptophyta; Magnoliopsida; Poales; Poaceae. The record is from RNAcentral.